Molecule: ribosomal RNA, 208 nt
Filed under: uncultured bacterium
Lineage: Bacteria
Description: partial 16S ribosomal RNA
Rfam family: Bacterial small subunit ribosomal RNA
Source: RNAcentral
AGCGCAGGCGGUGCGGCAAGUCUGAUGUGAAAGCCCGGGGCUCAACCCCGGUACUGCAUUGGAAACUGUCGUACUAGAGUGUCGGAGGGGUAAGCGGAAUUCCUAGUGUAGUGGUGAAAUGCGUAGAUAUUAGGAGGAACACCAGUGGCGAAGGCGGCUUACUGGACGAUAACUGACGCUGAGGCUCGAAAGCGUGGGGAAGCAAACA